Long non-coding RNA from Triticum aestivum (bread wheat), 3212 nucleotides. RefSeq lists it as uncharacterized. NCBI's taxonomy places the organism in Eukaryota, Viridiplantae, Streptophyta, Magnoliopsida, Poales, Poaceae. The record is from RefSeq and is a predicted model, not a curated record. The transcript is spliced from 3 exons.
AGUUCUCGCGUAGGUUGGCAGUUUACAAAAAAAAAAACAAAUCUUCAUACAGCUUGCUUCCGUGGCUUCAUCGCCAUCAUCGGCGUAGCAUAGAUGGUCCCUCACCACCGCGACGUGGAGGGUCCCUCACCACUGCGGGCUGCCGAUUCUCCUCUUUCGUGUCAUACCCUCACCUCUCCUCCGGUUCUUCGACUCUGGAUAUGGGAAAAGACGAGUGACGGAUGAUGGUUGAUGCAAUGGUGGAGGAAGCGUACUGAUGUCGGUUUGUAGCAAAUCAGGAGAACACCGCCGUCGGUAGGCUGCCGAUUCAUCAUCUGUCGGUUGUCGCUACUGCACCCACUCUGCCGUAUCCAUGAAUUGUUGGCAUAUUCUCUAGCCCGUUGAAGAAUCCAGGAUUUGGUUGUACUAUUGUGUCCUCCCAUCAAUUCUGUUACUUCCAACAUCAAAUUUGACUUGAUUCUCAUUGGGGCAAACUGAAGAUAUAAUUGACGUUUGACAAUAACAUUGCAUGCAGGUUAUGUUCCUCUUUUGCCAUGCUUUAUGUAGUCAACUAAGAAAUUAUUUUAGAUCCGAGCCACUAGAGAAACUAGAUUCUGAUCCUACAGAUGUUUCAUUAUUCAAAGUCAUUCUGUUUUCUGAUGGUGGGCAUUAGUGAUAUUAUAUGUUGAUGCACGCUGCUGCAAGCUGCCCGGAACUGCGCAAGCUCUAUCCUAAUGGCACGGCAUCACACAUAUUUUUGGCUCCACUUCCUCUCCGCUGCAGAGUCGUUGAACCCCAUGAGAAAAGUGAUAGUUUAGCUGCUCGAUGGUUAUUGGAUGCUGCUAUGCAGGAAUAAAGGAACAUGGUGAUUACAGGAACAUGUUGGAUGGUAGCAGGAAUGAGCUGAUGGAACUAACUAAUGCUAGCUAGCAAGUAAUAUCUUGAUCUGUUUACUCACAUACACAAGUAGUUGUUGAGGUGAAACAAUAUUAUCUUUUCGGCCCAAAUAGCAUUUACAAUAAUAGUGAUCAUCCUCCAAAGAAAAAUAUUAUAGGCCGAUUCCUAUUGUUACUAUACCAACUUAUCUCAGAAAUACAGAAGCGCCGAGAUGGACUAUUGCCUUGGAGAUGCAUAUGUGGGCAAGGUUCUGUAUUGGUUGAUCCAGAAUAAAUUUCGUCUUCUCUAAGAUCUUUCACUUGCAUUCCAUUGUCUGCAAUUUUAACCUAGCCUAAAAUUAAUUAAUCUUAUGGUGAGUGCUUUAGUAUGUUAGACACACAGUGGUUCAUCGGUUACAGGAAUACAUGCCUUCUAUUUCUAUGUCUUCAUCUUCUUAUAAAAACUAAUUAAUUGGAGGCAGCAAAGAAGCCUCCACAUUAAUUCUAGAAACACAUAAAAUUAACCUCCAGAUCUUAAAUCUAUGGUGCAGAUGAAAUAAGUGAUGUUUAGAGUCCUAGAGUUAUAAGUCUCCAACGUGAGGAAAAUGUGGACGUGUAACUUUUGGCAAAAUAAGCGAUGUUUAGAGUCCUAUAAUUAUACGAGUCUUCAAAGUGAGGAAAUUGUAGGCGUAACAAUUAGGAGGCCGCAGCGAUUGUCCUCUCUUGGAUACCCACCAAAAAAGCAUCCCCACGUUGAAAAAAGAGCAUCUCCAAUCUUGACCUUUUCAACGAUCACGUGGCGGGGAGUUCGGUCUGGUGGCACCUCCGCCUGGAUCCUCCUCUGAUUGAUUCAUGCUACACAUAUGCAAGGUGCAGAAUCCUCCUCGACAGCUCUACGUCACAUCACCAUUGGCCUGUCCCGUGGGUUACGAAGACAAUCAAUUUGACGAUUUCAUUGGCUUCCUCCACCCGUUCUGCAAUACCUUGAUGCCUCCAUUAAUUGAAGCUAGACGACGACUGGAAUGCGAGAGACCAUGAAGUCCAAGUGGUUGAUAUAUUGUGCACCCCUCUGUCCAGCUUUUGAUGAGAUUGUUGGUAAAAGCAAUGCAUGUUCUCUCUAUGCGUUGCCUCUGAUUCUCGCGUUGUUUAAUCUAUCCGACCAAGGCGCAGGCAAAAGUUUUCUCUACUUGCAUGCUGGAUGUUUACACAUAGCAUAGCCUGAGGCAUUGAUUGAUAGAUGCGAUUAUUGUUGUUAAGUUACUUUUUUUGCAACUAAUUCAGUUCUUCAGAGUUAGAUUUUCAGCACACAAGUGAUCAGGCGUAGCUUAUCUCCUCGGGGUCGUAAUACUAUGAUUCCUUGCUGCUGUUGAAUCCAAACUGACGAGUAAGUUGAGCUAUAUGUUUAGAUUUGGCAUUCUGGCAAGCAAGAGGAGCAAUUCAACAUCAAUUACAGUAGGUAAUGCAUCUGUUUCAGCUCGAUCAUUUAUUUUACUUGACGUACUAGCAUAUUCAGCAGAAGAGAGGCUCUCCGUGGGAAAUUCACCGGCGACUGGCCGCUACCGCUAUGACGGGGCCUUCUGUACUUCUUAUUGUGUUGCUCGCUGGAGGUUUGAUGGACAUAUCGUUUUUUGAAGUAAAUUAUGUGGCGGCCAAGGCUCCGGCGGCACAGCAUUUUGCCAUCCCCGGCACCAUUCAAGGUCGUCAUCCACCUCUCCUGUCCCAACUCAGCACGGCAGUAGUAACCCUAAAUCCCAUCUUCCCUGGUCUGUUCUUCUCCUUUUGAAUUCAUAAUCAAACCUCCGACUGCCACCUCAUAUGGGAACUACAGAGAUUUCAACAGUGAGAAGAAAGUAAAAUUCAAAGAAACGAAACCAAUCUGUUGAGUUCUCGCCACCGGGAAACAAAUCACUGGACGUGGCAAGGUUUGAUCGGUAUGAUGAUAAGUAUUGUUUCUUAAGUGUUAUUGCAUAAUAAAGAUUGAUCUCAUUGUGGUGAAUUUUGUACCACAUGUGGAAGUUACUGUGGACGAAGAGAUCAAGGAAACAUCUCCAAGCGCUGCAUUUGAAAUCAUCGAUCAGGUUCCGGCGUGUCCAAUUGUGCAGUGAUCAAGUUUAACACUGGUGCAAACUGGAGAAGCCUCCUCUGCAUCUUGCUGUUGUUGCGCUCUACUGUGUGUUCUUUGACUAGGGAAAUACUUGAUUGACAAGUACAUGGUGACCACCUACUGAUCGAUGCCUCACCGGCUGCUCACAUCUGUUCUAUGAGAUUUGAUGGCAAAAUUACAAUCUGUGACACGCUACCAUGCAACAUUAAUGAUUUUUACCUCGCAAAAAAGCAUUAAUGAUUUUUUUUACUGGA